Molecule: non-coding RNA, 222 nt
Organism: Vicia faba (fava bean)
Lineage: Eukaryota; Viridiplantae; Streptophyta; Magnoliopsida; Fabales; Fabaceae
Source: the annotation of a GenBank genome assembly
AUGGCAUCCAACAACUUGUGUCCUCCGGUUAAAAACAUUCUUCUUUUAGAUUCUGAAGGGAAGCGUGUGACAACUGAAGCUGAGAUAACACUGCUUGAGAACAAUAUCAUUGUUUACAAAUUUGUGCAAGACCUACAUUUCUUUGUCACUGGCGGUGAUGAUGAAAAUGAGCUUUGGCAUCAGAUCUUCAGGGUUUCUUCGAUGCAGUCACCCUUUUGCUGA